This is a non-coding RNA of Camellia sinensis, 1793 nucleotides long. NCBI's taxonomy places the organism in Eukaryota, Viridiplantae, Streptophyta, Magnoliopsida, Ericales, Theaceae. The record is from RefSeq and is a predicted model, not a curated record.
UUAUAUGAUUAUAUGUGUUUUUGAAUUUUUAUUUGUUCACCGUAGGAAAAUCUAUUUGAUUUUCUGUUAUAAAAUUUAAAUUGAAGGCUGUAGAGGCGACAAAAAUUGAAAUUGACUAUAUUAUUGUGAUUAUCAUGAUUUUUAAAGUCUACGGUGAGAUUUAAUUAAAAAUUGAUUUGGAUCAAAAUAAUUAGAUUAAAUUAAGUACAAUUAGUUAGCCCUAAUUGAGUUUGAUUAGUUUAAACUAAUCACCUAGUAUAUAUAUAGGCUAAACACCCUUAAGGUCAUAUUACGAGCUCAAGGUCUGAAAAUACACUCUAGAGAGAGAGAGUGAGCCGAUUAAAGAGAGAGAGAGAGAAUUCAACUUGAAGAUUCUACCUCAAAGCUUGAAGAUUGAGAGGAUUAACUCAAGAACUAGCUAGAAUUUGGAAGAUUGGAGCUUCUAGGUGGGUAAUUGAACUCAAAUUCAUGAGUUUAAGUUCAUAAUUGAGUGAGUUCAAAGAUAAUAUGAAGCUAAAGACAGGAUUUAAGGUGAAUGUGAUGAAUUUGAAGUCAAUAUACAUAUGCAUGUAAGUGAUUGCCAUGAAUUUGCAUAAUUGAGCAUGAAACGUAUAGUUUAUGAGCAUUUGAGAGUCAUUAAGGCAUGCAUGUAAGAAUUACCAUGGUAUGAAACUCAAUUCUAAAGAUUUAUGUUGUUUUUGGAAGAUGAUUCUUGGAACAUGAAGAUUAUGGCACCGAAUCAUACAUACAUGCCUAGUUUUGUUGAGUCUCAUGAGUUUAAGCAUCAAUUGUACCAUUUGUGAGAUGAAAAUACAAGCUACACUUCACAUGCAUGAAAGAUUUAAAAAGAUAUAAGAUUUGUUUGCAUGGGUUUUGAAGUUAUGAAAAUAAAUUUGACAUAAUUGAACUUAUGUGAUGAAUUCAUGGGAAUUUGAGCUUCAAGUCUUGUGAAAUUGACAUUUAGAUCAUGAUAGAAGUUGUAUGGUUGACAUAUAGGCCAUAAUAUGCAAGUUACACCAUGUAGAGUUGUGUUUUGAAGCUCAAAAAGUAUGCUGGAAAUUGCAAAAUUCGGCCUGUCCGCUCGAGUGAAGAAAGUCUCGCUCGAGUGUAAAAAUCAAACUCCCAAAAGUUUUGUAGAGAUUUGCACAGUAGCUCGAGUGGCAAAUAUCGCGCUUGAGCGAACCCUGUUUUAUAAGACUCCUCGCUCGAGCGACAGAAAUCUCGCUUGAGCGUAAAAAUCAUUCAACCAGUACUUUUAUAAAGUUUUACAGACCGCUUGAGCGGAGUGCCCUGUUUCAGAAAUUUUGAAAAGUCAUUUCAUGUUCCGUUUUCCGCACUCUUAGGCAUGUAUUGAGCAUUGUAAAUGAAUCAAAGGAUAAAGAAAGAGACCUAAGAGAAAUAAACAAGUUAAGAACAUAUUGAAUUGCUUGUGACCUAAUGUGUUAUGAAAUGUGUAGGGUUAAGCGCAAGGGCAAAUCCAUCGAUGGAACACUGUGAAUAAUAUCUUAGUAAAGAUAUUUUCAAGUGAGCAAAGAGAUGUCUAACCCCAGCCUCAGUGAAGAAUGUAAGAGAAAUCUAAGUUUUGUGGAGUCAGCCCGAACGUCUCACGCACGAAACUUUGUUUUCGUUCUGUUGUUUUACCCUUUUUGCUACCUUGGCGAUUCCGUUGGAACACAUAUGUGUAUAAACUUUUUGUUUAACUGAUUGCAUGUUUGAAUGAUCUUGGAUGUACAAGACGUUUAAUUUGGCUUAUGGUGUGAGUUAUUAUCUAAGAUAUGGGAAAUGUUUUGACA